GUUUUGCAAUUGGAUUGAGAACAACGUACAAACCUUAUCGAUAAACAAUUGGAGGGCAAGUCUGGUGCCAGCAGCCGCGGUAAUUCCAGCUCCAAUAGCGUAUAUUAACGUUGUUGCAGUUAAAAAGCUCGUAGUUGAAAUGAAGGGUGGUUGUGUAAUGAAUACAUUCGUGUAUUUUGUUAUUCUACUACCCUCCUUCUAAAUUCGAUAUAUGAGUAUUAAUUUACUUGUAUAUGGUUUUAGACUUUUACUGUGAGAAAAUUAGAGUGUUCAAAGCAGGCAUUUGCUUGAAUAUAUUAGCAUGGAAUAAUCAUGUAUGAUUUUCAUGAUGUAUUUGAUUGGUUUGGUUCAUGAGAAUAAGAUUAAAAGGGACAGUUGGGGGUAUUCAUAUUCAAUAGUCAGAGGUGAAAUUCUCGGAUUUAUGGAAGAUGAACAAGUGCGAAAGCA
Molecule: ribosomal RNA, 447 nt
Filed under: Blastocystis sp.
Lineage: Eukaryota; Bigyra; Opalinata; Blastocystidae
Description: SSU rRNA
Rfam family: Eukaryotic small subunit ribosomal RNA
Source: RNAcentral